UAAUCUACCUUUGGAUGGGGAAUAACAGUCGGAAACGGCUGCUAAUACCGCAUAAUGCAGCGGCACCUAAUGGUGACAGUUGUUAAAGCGGGGGAUCGAAAGACCUCGCGUCUGAAGAGGAGCCUGCGGCGGAUUAGCUAGUUGGUAAGGUAAUGGCUUACCAAGGCUACGAUCCGUAACCGGCCUGAGAGGGCGGUCGGCACACUGACACUGACAUACGGGUCAG
This 226-nucleotide ribosomal RNA is filed under the name uncultured bacterium. Its description in RNAcentral is "partial 16S ribosomal RNA". It matches the Rfam family "Bacterial small subunit ribosomal RNA", at positions 122 to 334 of the family's 1533-position model. The record is from RNAcentral.